Molecule: long non-coding RNA, 452 nt
Organism: Etheostoma spectabile (orangethroat darter)
Lineage: Eukaryota; Metazoa; Chordata; Actinopteri; Perciformes; Percidae
Exons: 4
Source: RefSeq, a predicted model, not a curated record
UUGCAGAGUUAAUGGUAAAGUGUGAUUUAAGGUUCUGCGGAGGCUCCAAGCAGAGCUUUCGCCGUAGCCUACAUAAAUGGCCUGACGUUUAUACUUGUGCGUUGGUGUGUGUGUCGAGCCGGCAGGUUUGUGUGUUGGGAGUGGGUGAUUGAGCGAGGGAACAAGUGAGAGAGUGACGGUGAUUAGCUUCGGAGCUAGUAGCGACUCUAGACUCUAGAGUCAAAGUGAGAGAAACAAAGUGUCUCCCCUGUUCUUUCUGACCAAGGUAGGAAAUCUGUAGCAGGAAAAGUUAACCCGCUCCUUGAUUUUAGGUUGUUUAUGGAGAAGGAGAACCAAGAAAUGAGUCGGGGGAAAUGCAACGAGAGGUGCACGUCUGGCUACGGCGUAGGGUUGUGUCUCCACAUACGUAGCAAGAGCGUAGAUUUUACGCAGAAGUAUAGAUCAAGUUUUAG